Ictalurus punctatus (channel catfish) is the source of this 1881-nucleotide long non-coding RNA. RefSeq lists it as uncharacterized. The transcript has 2 exons. The record is from RefSeq and is a predicted model, not a curated record. NCBI's taxonomy places the organism in Eukaryota, Metazoa, Chordata, Actinopteri, Siluriformes, Ictaluridae.
CGUCAGAUUGUUUGAACCGGUUUUUCCCGUCUGCUCAGUUUUUAAAUCAGCAGCACUCGACGUGGAUAUUCUCUUCUUAGCUGUUAUGUCUUCAUCUUUUUGGAAUGAUGGAAUGGUUAUACGUUUUGAAAUUGGUCUCAUCAGAUCAUAACGUGUUUUGCUACAUGGUCUGGGGUGAUUUAGUUGAGCUUGAGCCCAGACAUGUGAAGAAUAUGAGAGAUUGUUGAUGCAGAAGUAAUCAGUAGUUUUGUCAGGUAUUCCUGAAGCUCCUUUAAUGUUGCUGUAGGUCUCUUGGAAGCCUCCCUGGCUUUGUUAGCUCUUUGUGGACCGUGGCUUCAGCAGUCGAGUCGGAUGAAACCAAGAAGAUGUGAAGAAAAUCCUGGAAACAGCGGGUCUUUCUUUGGAGUUAAUCAGAAUCAUCUCAAUCCUGACAGCCGUAUGAUAAUAAGGUUUAAACGUGAGAUUGAAUGUGAUUGGUUCAUUCUGAGCACAUCCACGUCCCCAGUUAUAAAAGGGUGCGCACGCUUUUAUCCUUUUUCCCUGAAAUGUUUUUUGAUUGUUUUUCCGCUUCAUUUUUAUGCGUUGUAAUUUCUCAUUGAGGGAUGAAAAAAAAAAAAAAAACAGGUGUGACAUGAUUUAUCUUGGUUUCACGUUUACGUUUACGUCACAAAAAACUACCGUUUUAACAGGGGUGUGUAGACUUUUUAUAUCCACUGUAUUUGUAAAAAUAAUAAAGUUCAGAACAAGCUAAAAUAAUAUAGAAUCUAACCACAGUUUAAAUAAACUGCCUUUAUGGGAGGGGAAAUUAGAUAGAUAUGUAAUAUAAGACAAAGAUAACCUGAGUCAAAUACAGUUUUUAAGUUAUGCAACACCAACUGGCCCUGAGUGGAAAAAGUAGUUUUCCCCCUUAUUUACUCAAUCAACCUAUUAACUAAAUGCAAUUGAUAAUCGGGUUCAGUUGGAUUAGCCACACCCAGGAUCUGUUUAACACCAUUAAACAGAAGCUUUCCAGAAACAUGAAGUCUAAAAGCUCUCAAAACCUCGAUGACCCCCAAGCCUUUUGGGCCAGUGUAAUGUGGAUUGAUGAUAAUCUACAGGUAUCGGAAGCCUUUGGUCACAGUUGUUGCUGCUAAACGUGGCACAACCAGUUAAGUUCAGGGCGCAAUUACUUUUUCACACAGGGCCAGUUGGUGUUAAAUCAUUUUUGUUUCCCUACAAUAAAUGAAAUGAUUAUUUAAAAACUGUAUUUUGUGUUUACUUUGGUUGUACUAAGAUGUGAAGAAUCAUUUGUGAGAAUAAAUGUGAAGAAUCAUAUCAGGGAACAAAUGAAUCGUGUUGAGAAUCACAUGUGAGAGUAAAUGAGUCCUGUGACAAAUCACGUGAGCAUAAGUGAAUCAUGUGUGAAGAAUCACAUAUGAGAAUAAAUGAGUCGUGUAAAGAAUCACAUUGGAAUAAAUGAACCAUGUGUAAAGAAUCACAUGGUAGAAUAAAUGAGUCAUGUAUAAAGAAUCACAUGUAAGAAUGGGAAGAAUCAUAUGUGAGUAUAAAUGAGUCGUGUAAAGAAUCACAUGAGAAUAAAUUAAUCAUGUGUAAAGAAUCAUAUGUAAGAAUAAAUGAAUCACAUGACAAUAAAUGAGUCGUGUAAAGAAUCACAUGUAAGAAUGGGAAGAAUCAUAUGAGAAUAAAUGAGUCAUGUGUAAAGAAUCACAUGUAAGAAUGGGAAGAAUCAUAUGAGAAUAAAUGAGUCGUGUAAAGAAUCACAUGUAAGAAUAAAUGAAUCAUGGGAGAAAUCAUGUGAGAAUAAACGAGUCGUGUGUAAAGAUUCAUGUGAGAAUAAAUUAAUCAUGGGAAGAAUCACGUGAGAUUAAAUGAGUCAUGUGU